GAGGGAAAGGUGAAAAGCAACCAUGAAAAAUGGGUUGAAACAGUAGUGAAAGCGCUACCGGGAUAAGGGCUAUCGGGUGCUGGGGCUCUUUGGGUGUGCUUUAGUGCUACCCUCCGAGACGGCCCGCGAGGGUUGAUGUUGGGGYGAUAGACGCACUGCAGGAAUUCAGCUGCCUUCGGGCAGUGUUGUAGCCUGCAGUUGCUGAUCCUCCUGCGACCUUGUGUGAUUGCGGGUCUUGCGACCGUUAGCCGCCCGUCUUGAAACACGGACCAAGGAGUGCACCUUGCAUGCGAGUCGAAGGGAUUUGAAACCUGGAGGCGUAGCGAACGCGACGAUGGGGAAUGUCCUUGUGGCAGACACCCGCACCCGCCUUGUGCGAGGUAGAGCAUGUACGGUGCGACCCGAAAGAUGGUGAACUAUGCCCGGGUAAGGUGAAGCCAGUGGAAACGCUGGUGGAGGCCUGUAGCGAUUCUGACGUGCAAAUCGAUCGCGUAACCUGGGUAUAGGGGCGAAAGACCUAUCGAACCGUCUAAUGGCUGGUUCCCUCCGAAGUUUCCCUCAGGAUAGCUGCGUUCCUAAUGAGAGUCAGUUGCAUUGCGGUAGAGCGAAUGAUUAGGUGUCUCGGGGCCAUCAUGGCCUCGGCUCAUUCUCAAACUCCGAAUUGCGUGCGAUCCCGUUGCUGUGACCUUGUGGCACGCCGGGAAAAUGACAGGACGCAAGUGGGCUGGUUUUGGUAAGCA
Molecule: ribosomal RNA, 740 nt
Filed under: uncultured Tulasnella mycobiont of Riccardia multifida
Lineage: Eukaryota; Fungi; Basidiomycota; Agaricomycetes; Cantharellales; Tulasnellaceae
Description: eukaryotic LSU rRNA
Rfam family: Eukaryotic large subunit ribosomal RNA
Source: RNAcentral